RNAcentral lists this ribosomal RNA (470 nucleotides) under uncultured bacterium. Its description in RNAcentral is "bacterial SSU rRNA". It matches the Rfam family "Bacterial small subunit ribosomal RNA", at positions 30 to 524 of the family's 1533-position model. The record is from RNAcentral.
AUUGAACGCUGGCGGCAUGCCUAACACAUGCAAGUCGAACGGCAGCACAGUAUGUAGCAAUACAUAUGGGUGGCGAGUGGCGGAUGGGUGAGUAACGCGUGGGAAUCUGCCCUAUAGUGGGGGACAACCCGACGAAAGUCGGGCUAAUACCGCAUACGCCCUACGGGGAAAGGCUUCGGCCGCUAUUGGAUGAGCCCGCGUCGGAUUAGCUAGUUGGUGAGGUAAUGGCUCACCAAGGCGACGAUCCGUAGCUGGUCUGAGAGGACGAUCAGCCACACUGGGACUGAGACACGGCCCAGACUCCUACGGGAGGCAGCAGUGGGAAUAUUGCACAAUGGGCGAAAGCCUGAUGCAGCAAUGCCGCGUGUGUGAAGAAGGCCUGCGGGUUGUAAAGCACUUUCGGUAGGGAAGAUAAUGACGGUACCUACAGAAGAAGCACCGGCUAACUCCGUGCCAGCAGCCGCGGUAAU